AGAGUUUGAUUCUGGCUCAGAACGAACGCUGGCGGCAUGCCUAACACAUGCAAGUCGAACGAGACCUUCGGGUCUAGUGGCGCACGGGUGCGUAGCGCGUGGGAAUCUACCCUUGGGUUCGGAAUAACAGUUAGAAAUGACUGCUAAUACCGGAUGAUGUCUUCGGACCAAAGAUUUAUCGCCCAGGGAUGAGCCCGCGUAGGAUUAGCUUGUUGGUGAGGUAAAAGCUCACCAAGGCACGAUCCUUAGCUGGUCUGAGAGGAUGAUCAGCCACACUGGGACUGAGACACGGCCCAGACUCCUACGGGAGGCAGCAGUGGGGAAUAUUGCACAAUGGGCGCAAGCCUGAUGCAGCAACGCCGCGUGAGGGACGACGGCCUUCGGGUUGUAAACCUCUUUUAGCAGGGAAGAAGCGAAAGUGACGGUACCUGCAGAAAAAGCACCGGCUAACUACGUGCCAGCAGCCGCGGUAAUACGUAGGGUGCAAGCGUUAUCCGGAAUUAUUGGGCGUAAAGAGCUCGUAGGCGGUUUGUCGCGUCUGCUGUGAAAACCCGAGGCUCAACCUCGGGCCUGCAGUGGGUACGGGCAAACUAGAGUGCGGUAGGGGAGAUUGGAAUUCCUGGUGUAGCGGUGGAAUGCGCAGAUAUCAGGAGGAACACCGAUGGCGAAGGCAGAUCUCUGGGCCGUAACUGACGCUGAGGAGCGAAAGCGUGGGGAGCGAACAGGAUUAGAUACCCUGGUAGUCCACGCCGUAAACGUUGGGAACUAGAUGUGGGGGCCAUUCCACGGCUUCCGUGUCGCAGCUAACGCAUUAAGUUCCCCGCCUGGGGAGUACGGCCGCAAGGCUAAAACUCAAAGGAAUUGACGGGGGCCCGCACAAGCGGCGGAGCAUGCGGAUUAAUUCGAUGCAACGCGAAGAACCUUACCAAGGCUUGACAUAUACGAGAACGCUGCAGAAAUGUAGAACUCUUUGGACACUCGUAUACAGGUGGUGCAUGGUUGUCGUCAGCUCGUGUCGUGAGAUGUUGGGUUAAGUCCCGCAACGAGCGCAACCCUCGUUCUAUGUUGCCAGCACGUAAUGGUGGGAACUCAUAGGAGACUGCCGGGGUCAACUCGGAGGAAGGUGGGGAUGACGUCAAAUCAUCAUGCCCCUUAUGUCUUGGGCUUCACGCAUGCUACAAUGGCCGGUACAAAGGGCUGCAAUACCGUAAGGUGGAGCGAAUCCCAAAAAGCCGGUCUCAGUUCGGAUUGAGGUCUGCAACUCGACCUCAUGAAGUCGGAGUCGCUAGUAAUCGUGGAUCAGCAACGCCACGGUGAAUACGUUCCCGGGCCUUGUACACACCGCCCGUCAAGUCAUAAAAGUCGGUAACACCCGAAGCCAGUGGCCCAACCGCAAGGAGGGAGCUGUCGAAGGUGGGAUCGGUGAUUAGGACUAAGUCGGAACAAGGUA
This 1450-nucleotide ribosomal RNA is filed under the name metagenome. Its description in RNAcentral is "bacterial SSU rRNA". It matches the Rfam family "Bacterial small subunit ribosomal RNA". The record is from RNAcentral.